GAUGAACGCUGGCGGCGUGCCUAAUACAUGCAAGUCGAGCGAACGGACGAGAAGCUUGCUUCUCUGAUGUUAGCGGCGGACGGGUGAGUAACACGUGGAUAACCUACCUAUAAGACUGGGAUAACUUCGGGAAACCGUAGCUAAUACCGGAUAAUAUUUUGAACCGCAUGGUUCAAAAGUGAAAGACGGUCUUGCUGUCACUUAUAGAUGGAUCCGCGCUGCAUUAGCUAGUUGGUAAGGUAACGGCUUACCAAGGCAACGAUGCAUAGCCGACCUGAGAGGGUGAUCGGCCACACUGGAACUGGGACACGGUCCAGACUCCUACGGGAGGCAGCAGUAGGGAAUCUUCCGCAAUGGGCGAAAGCCUGACGGAGCAACGCCGCGUGAGUGAUGAAGGUCUUCGGAUCGUAAAACUCUGUUAUUAGGGAAGAACAAAUGUGUAAGUAACUGUGCACAUCUUGACGGUACCUAAUCAGAAAGCCACGGCUAACUACGUG
This 497-nucleotide ribosomal RNA is filed under the name uncultured bacterium. RNAcentral describes it as "partial 16S ribosomal RNA". It matches the Rfam family "Bacterial small subunit ribosomal RNA", at positions 28 to 507 of the family's 1533-position model. The record is from RNAcentral.